This is an unclassified non-coding RNA of Dipodomys ordii (Ord's kangaroo rat), 316 nucleotides long. Its record names the gene 7SK. It matches the Rfam family "7SK RNA". Rfam says of the family: 7SK was discovered as an abundant small nuclear RNA in the mid-70s but a possible function has only recently been suggested. Two independent studies have found that 7SK RNA binds the CDK9/cyclin T complex (known as elongation factor P-TEFb). The record is from Ensembl. Lineage: Eukaryota; Metazoa; Chordata; Mammalia; Rodentia; Heteromyidae.
AGAUGAGAGGGUGAUCUGGCUGUGAUGUCUAUCACUCUAUUGAUGGUCUGGGUUGAUUCUGCUGAUCUGGCUAGCUAGGUGGGUGGACCCAUCCUCCCUCACACUCCAUUUGUGGAUCCCUCCUAAAGCUAUACCCUCGGUUGAAGAGGACAACCAUCCCAGAUUUGGGAGGACCGUUCUUCUCUAAAGGGCACACAAGUAGUUGUGCUUCCCUUCUAGAACCUCCAAACAAACUUUCAAAAAAUGAACGAAGAGACAGAAAUACAUAUGUGUAUAAUACACCUCAGAAAAUAUUGUAUGCAUCCUACAUUAGCUG